AUUGAACGCUGGCGGCAUGCUUUACACAUGCAAGUCGAACGGUAACAGGGUGCUUGCACCGCUGACGAGUGGCGAACGGGUGAGUAAUGCGUCGGAACGCACCGAGUAAUGGGGGAUAACGCAGCGAAAGCUGUGCUAAUACCGCAUACGCUCUGAGGAGGAAAGCGGGGGACCUUCGGGCCUCGCGUUAUUCGAGCGGCCGACGUCUGAUUAGCUAGUAGGUGAGGUAAGAGCUCACCUAGGCGACGAUCAGUAGCGGGUCUGAGAGGAUGAUCCGCCACACCGGGACUGAGACACGGCCCAGACUCCUACGGGAGGCAGCAGUGGGGAAUUUUGGACAAUGGGCGCAAGCCUGAUCCAGCCGUGCCGCGUGGCUGAAGAAGGCCUUCGGGUUGUAAAGGACUUUUGUCAGGGAGGAAAUCCUUAGCGCUAAUACCGUUGAGGGAUGACAGUACCUGAAGAAUAAGCACCGGCUAACUACGUGCCAGCCGCCGCGGUAA
This 500-nucleotide ribosomal RNA is filed under the name uncultured bacterium. RNAcentral describes it as "partial 16S ribosomal RNA". It matches the Rfam family "Bacterial small subunit ribosomal RNA", at positions 30 to 523 of the family's 1533-position model. The record is from RNAcentral.